UACGUAGGUGGCAAGCGUUGUUCGGAAUAACUGGGCGUAAAGGAUGCGUAGGCGGUUAAACAAGUUAUAUGUUAAAUAUAUAGGCUUAACCUGUAGAAAGCAUAUAAAACUGUUUAACUAGAGUGCAGGAGAGGUAAGUGGAAUUCCUAGUGUAGCGGUGAAAUGCGUAGAGAUUAGGAAGAACACCAGUGGCGAAGGCGACCUGCUGGGCUUUUACUGACGCUGAGGCUCGAAAGUGUGGGGAGCAAACAGG
RNAcentral lists this ribosomal RNA (253 nucleotides) under uncultured Candidatus Neoarthromitus sp. RNAcentral's name for it is "uncultured Candidatus Arthromitus sp. partial 16S ribosomal RNA". It matches the Rfam family "Bacterial small subunit ribosomal RNA", at positions 524 to 776 of the family's 1533-position model. Lineage: Bacteria; Bacillati; Bacillota; Clostridia; Eubacteriales; Clostridiaceae. The record is from RNAcentral.